UGGGGAAUAUUGGACAAUGGGCGAAAGCCUGAUCCAGCCAUGCCGCGUGUGUGAAGAAGGUCUUCGGAUUGUAAGCACUUUAAGUUGGGAGGAAGGGCAGUAAAUUAAUACUUUGCUGUUUUGACGUUACCGACAGAAUAAGCACCGGCUAACUCUGUGCC
RNAcentral lists this ribosomal RNA (161 nucleotides) under uncultured bacterium. RNAcentral's name for it is "partial 16S ribosomal RNA". It matches the Rfam family "Bacterial small subunit ribosomal RNA", at positions 355 to 509 of the family's 1533-position model. The record is from RNAcentral.